AAACUGUUUUAACAUCGUAUUGGCCCUAACAACACACAACAUUCCAGGAAUGUACUACCAAAGUUCUAUCAAUAUUUGAAUGUCCUGGACAUUUAGGGAACAUUCGGUGAACAUCUGUUUAAAUUAUUCCUGGAAUGUUACCAUAAGACAUUCUGUGAACAUACUACCAAUGUUCAUAUAUUUUAAGUUGCGAAAUAAUACAUACGUGUAACAGAUACAACAUUACUUAUAACAUACCAGACAAACUAAGUGACACUUUAGGCCUACAGUGCAAUAAUAUGUCAAAUUUAAAGAGUUUUCCAAGUUCAAUUAAUACAAUAUUAUAAACAUACAAAUGUAAUAAAAAUUAUUGUUCGCGAAUAUUCAAUUUGGAAUGCGAUUUUGUUAAUAAAAAAAAUACUUAUAACUUAUGCAAAACCCAAGAGAGGCAUUUAUAUUUAUUUCUUUUGCGUUCAUUUUCAAAUUCGCCGUGCAUAUAUUUUUGUGCAUGGCGCUUGAGAGGGCAUCACGUGACUAAAAACGACCAACCAACGACCUCGCUUCGGCCAUCUUGGCAUCUUCAUCUUGCCACCUUUGUAUUAUUUGUGCUUUUUAAGAAUAUUUUUUUAAUUCGGAUACUUUUAUAAUAGCUUUAAUAGUAUUAUUAACAUAGUGAAUAAAAUGGUGUCCUGUUUUUAACGCAGUUGGAGUAGCAGAAACAAAUGUAGAUAAAAAAAUCUGCAGGAAUAACGUUUCAAUUAUGACAGAAGCUCCAAACAAAUGACUGUGAAUGAAAAUGAAAAGCCCUAUUAAAAGCUUUCCAGAAGAUCCUGCGAAGAAGACAUGAAGUAUAGAUCAGAUUUGUUAAUAGAGGAGUAUGUUCAAAACACUUUUUAGAAAAAGAUAUUGACAGAAUUUCACUUUCAUCUGUUCGUUUAAGAGACUGUGCUGUUCCAAUAGCUUAUGUCACACAGAAUCAGCUGAGAGAAGUGGUCUACAAAAAACCAGAAAGGAAACGGAAUAUGUGGCUACGAAAAGCAAAAGAAAGGUUUACAAAGCAAAUGUGACACAUUUUUUUAUAAUAUUUAGGAAUGUCAGUAAAUUACAUUAAAAAAUGUAUGUAAAGAUUUUUUGCAAUAAAUUUUUUUUAUAUUUA
Molecule: long non-coding RNA, 1135 nt
Filed under: Diabrotica virgifera virgifera (western corn rootworm)
Lineage: Eukaryota; Metazoa; Arthropoda; Insecta; Coleoptera; Chrysomelidae
Description: uncharacterized LOC126882252
Source: RNAcentral